UACGGAGGGGGCUAGCGUUGUUCGGAAUUACUGGGCGUAAAGCGCACGUAGGCGGCUUUGUAAGUUAGAGGUGAAAGCCCGGGGCUCAACUCCGGAACUGCCUUUAAGACUGCAUCGCUGGAAUUGUGGAGAGGUAAGUGGAAUUCCGAGUGUAGAGGUGAAAUUCGUAGAUAUUCGGAGGAACACCAGUGGCGAAGGCGGCUCACUGGUCCGGUACUGACGCUGAGGUGCGAAAGCGUGGGGAGCAAACAGG
Molecule: ribosomal RNA, 253 nt
Filed under: uncultured bacterium
Lineage: Bacteria
Description: partial 16S ribosomal RNA
Rfam family: Bacterial small subunit ribosomal RNA
Source: RNAcentral